Molecule: ribosomal RNA, 460 nt
Filed under: uncultured bacterium
Lineage: Bacteria
Description: partial 16S ribosomal RNA
Rfam family: Bacterial small subunit ribosomal RNA
Source: RNAcentral
CCUACGGGAUGCUGCAGUGAGGAAUAUUGGUCAAUGGGCGCGAGCCUGAACCAGCCAAGUAGCGUGAAGGAUGACUGCCCUACGGGUUGUAAACUUCUUUUAUCAAGGAAUAAAGUGAGGCACGUGUGCCUUUUUGUAUGUACUUUAUGAAUAAGGAUCGGCUAACUCCGUGCCAGCAGCCGCGGUAAUACGGAGGAUCCGAGCGUUAUGCGGAUUUAUUGGGUUUAAAGGGGGCGUAGAUGGGUUGUUAAGGUCAUUGUGAAAGUUUGCGGCUCAACCGUAAAAUUGCAAUUGAUACUGGCAGCCUUGAGUACAGUUGAGGUAGGCGGAAUGCGUGGUGUAGCGGUGAAAUGCUUAGAUAUCACGAAGAACUCCGAUUGCGAAGGCAGCUUACUAAACUGCCACUGACAUUGAUGCUCGAAAGUGUGGGUAUCAAACAGGAUUAGAUACCCUGGUAGUC